This 741-nucleotide ribosomal RNA is filed under the name uncultured Corynebacterium sp. RNAcentral describes it as "bacterial SSU rRNA". It matches the Rfam family "Bacterial small subunit ribosomal RNA", at positions 28 to 776 of the family's 1533-position model. The record is from RNAcentral. Lineage: Bacteria; Bacillati; Actinomycetota; Actinomycetes; Mycobacteriales; Corynebacteriaceae.
GACGAACGCUGGCGGCGUGCUUAACACAUGCAAGUCGAACGGAAAGGCCCUGCUUGCAGGGUGCUCGAGUGGCGAACGGGUGAGUAACACGUGGGUGAUCUGCCCCUUACUUUGGGAUAAGCCUGGGAAACUGGGUCUAAUACUGGAUAGGACCAUGCUGUAGGUGGUGUGGUGGAAAGAUUUUUUCGGUAAGGGAUGAGCUCGCGGCCUAUCAGCUUGUUGGUGGGGUAAUGGCCUACCAAGGCGUCGACGGGUAGCCGGCCUGAGAGGGUGGACGGCCACAUUGGGACUGAGAUACGGCCCAGACUCCUACGGGAGGCAGCAGUGGGGAAUAUUGCACAAUGGGCGCAAGCCUGAUGCAGCGACGCCGCGUGGGGGAUGACGGCCUUCGGGUUGUAAACUCCUUUCAGCCAUGACGAAGCCUCUUUUGGGGUGACGGUAGUGGUAGAAGAAGCACCGGCUAACUACGUGCCAGCAGCCGCGGUAAUACGUAGGGUGCGAGCGUUGUCCGGAAUUACUGGGCGUAAAGAGCUCGUAGGUGGUCUGUCGCGUCAUUUGUGAAAGCCCGGGGCUUAACUCCGGGUUGGCAGGUGAUACGGGCAUGACUGGAGUACUGUAGGGGAGACUGGAAUUCCUGGUGUAGCGGUGAAAUGCGCAGAUAUCAGGAGGAACACCGGUGGCGAAGGCGGGUCUCUGGGCAGUAACUGACGCUGAGGAGCGAAAGCAUGGGUAGCGAACAGG